RNAcentral lists this ribosomal RNA (301 nucleotides) under uncultured bacterium. RNAcentral describes it as "partial 16S ribosomal RNA". It matches the Rfam family "Bacterial small subunit ribosomal RNA", at positions 509 to 807 of the family's 1533-position model. The record is from RNAcentral.
CAGUCGCCGCGGGAAAACGAAGGGGGCUAGCGUUGUUCGGAUUAACUGGGCGUAAAGGGCGCGUAGGCGGGUUUUUAAGUCAGAGGUGAAAUCCCAAGGCUCAACCUUGGAACUGCCUUUGAUACUGGAAGUCUUGAGUCCGGGAGAGGUGAGUGGAACUGCGAGUGUAGAGGUGAAAUUCGUAGAUAUUCGCAAGAACACCAGUGGCGAAGGCGGCUCACUGGCCCGGUACUGACGCUGAGGCGCGAAAGCGUGGGGAGCAAACAGGAUCAGAUACCCCAGUAGUCCCUGUCUCUUAUAC